Molecule: ribosomal RNA, 435 nt
Filed under: Triticum aestivum (bread wheat)
Lineage: Eukaryota; Viridiplantae; Streptophyta; Magnoliopsida; Poales; Poaceae
Description: partial small subunit ribosomal RNA
Source: RNAcentral
AUGGAGUCACAUGCACACCGUGCCAGCCCAGACGAACUUUACCGGUUGCUCCUUGAGCCUGAUUUUGCGUGUCACGCCAUUGCAGGGGAAAAUACCACAAGAAUCAUGUCAAUACAAAGGCAAUUCAUCGGAAAUGAAGUGAAGUGCAACAUCGCAAACUGUCGGAUGGUUACAAUCCCCGCCGUCAUGCAACAUGGUUGGUGCUGCUUCAACUGGGACAUGAUGGCCCACGUGAUAACCAUAAUGGACCCAAUGGCAUACCAGACAGAGGACACAACAAGGAAAACUUGCCUUAUGUACGAGGCCGACAAGAUACAUGACGCUCUUUUUGAUUGCAUUGAAGAAUUCUUCACUGAGUGGCACUGCAGCAGACAUUCAUGGACGAAGAAGACACCUCUAUUGUCUACCACAACAUUCACAAGGUACGCAUGUUGA